CUUUCAACGAGCAGUGAUGUCGAUAUCGAGCUCAGUAGCCGUACUAAACGUAGUUCCAGUUUCUCCACGAACCGCCCCGGUAAACAACGCCUUUCAAGAUCGCAUCAGUCUCACUCAUUUCGACUUAUUGGCCCUUCGCGCUCCUCCCAAUCAGCGUCUCUUUUUUACGAGACGCAUCUUCCUAUCUCUGCUUUUGCAGAGACAGUUAUUCCAAAACUCCGCGAUUCCCUUUCUCUCACCCUUCAAAACUUCCGACCUUUGGCGGGGACUUUGAUCUGGUCGCUGCACUCCGACGAGCCCUACAUCCGUAUUAAGGACGACGAUUCAGUCCCUCUUACGAUAGCCGAAUCGGAUGCUGACCCCCAAAAAUUAUUCGACGAUCCCUUCCAACAAGAAACAGACCUCCAGCAAUUGCUGCCUCCACUGCGAGUCUCAGAAACGGAAGCAUCGCUGUUGGCGUUACAGAUCACGCUGUUCCCGAGUAGUGAUAUCUGUCUUGGCAUCACCUUCCACCAUGCUGCGCAGGAUGGGGCAUCAUUGGCUCUUUUCCUCAAAUCGUGGGCUCACAUCUGCAGACAUGGAGACGACCCACCAUUACCUCAAAACUUGAUACCGAUCUUUGACCGUGCCAUUAUCGACGAUCCGAAAAAUAUCAAACAACUUUUUUUGGAUCACUUAUUAACACCCCUGACACCAGGCGGACCUAGAAAUAGGAGCGUCAAACCUAUGAAAAAGCCAUUUAAUGAUAGGAUGCACGGAUCAUUUAGAUUAACAGUCGACGACAUCGAAAACCUCAGGAGGCAAAUAACCUCUUUGCAGGUUCAGAAUACCUCCCAAGAGCCGCCAGUCAGGAUGUCUACAGUUGUAGUUACUUGUGCAUACGUGUUGACAUGCUUUGUUAAGGCCGGGUUGACAAAGAAGCACGUUCGGUUUAUUUUGCCUGCUGAUCUUAGGAAGCGAUUACAGCCCUCCGUGCCUGACAAUUACUACGGGAACUGCGUGUUUGGCUGUAAUGUUGAUAUGUCUAGUGAUGAUAUAGCUGGACAAGAUGGUCUAGUGGUAGCAGCCAAAGCUAUCAGCGCCGUAGUGAGCGAAUUGGAUGCAAAUGAUCAUCGGAAAUUUUUUGAGAAUUUUCUGUUGAAUAACACGAUAUCUCAGGAGGAAACAAAGGUGGGUGUGGGAGGGUCAAUGUAUUUCAGUCUUGAUGAAAAGGAUUUCGGCUGGGGUGGACCAAAACAUUUGAAGAAUGUCCCUCCGUGGCCUAACCACAUUUAUUUAGCGGAGAGGCGGGAUGGUGAUAAAGGUGUGGACUUUUGCUUGAUGCUAGCGAAACAGGAAAUGGCAGCAUUCGAGUCAAAGUUCCUUGAUGAUCUUAAGUUAUUGGAAAAGUGGAGCUGCUGA
RNAcentral lists this long non-coding RNA (1401 nucleotides) under Bemisia tabaci. RNAcentral describes it as "lncRNA ENSASIAIIG011259". Lineage: Eukaryota; Metazoa; Arthropoda; Insecta; Hemiptera; Aleyrodidae. The record is from RNAcentral.